Long non-coding RNA from Etheostoma spectabile (orangethroat darter), 130 nucleotides. RefSeq lists it as uncharacterized. The record is from RefSeq and is a predicted model, not a curated record. Lineage: Eukaryota; Metazoa; Chordata; Actinopteri; Perciformes; Percidae. The transcript is spliced from 3 exons.
CUGUGUGAAAAAAAGAAGAGUGUGACAGAAUUGUCCUGGUACUCGUCUUCCUCUCCCUCGUGCAGGAAUUUUUCUAUCUUUCUGUGUGUUCAUAUGUACUGUAUUGCUGCUUUUCCACACAAAAUCAGCC